RNAcentral lists this ribosomal RNA (348 nucleotides) under Enterobacter hormaechei subsp. xiangfangensis. RNAcentral describes it as "partial 23S ribosomal RNA". It matches the Rfam family "Bacterial large subunit ribosomal RNA", at positions 1680 to 1933 of the family's 2925-position model. The record is from RNAcentral. Lineage: Bacteria; Pseudomonadati; Pseudomonadota; Gammaproteobacteria; Enterobacterales; Enterobacteriaceae.
ACCAAGGCGCUUGAGAGAACUCGGGUGAAGGAACUAGGCAAAAUGGUGCCGUAACUUCGGGAGAAGGCACGCUGAUAUGUAGGUGAAGUCCCUGCGGACGGAGCUGAAAUCAGUCGAAGAUACCAGCUGGCUGCAACUGUUUAUUAAAAACACAGCACUGUGCAAACACGAAAGUGCGAAGCGGCGAUUUUCCGCCGGAAGCCCGGGUCGCCAGGGUGGUGGCGACUGAGCCACCCUGGCACGUUCACCGGUUAUGUUGUGACAGAGUAGCAAGGAACAUAACGUGAACGGAAUGACCACCAGAGCCGUAUGUUCCCCCUCACCCCAGCCCUCUCCCUCAAGGGAGAG